CAGUCGCCGCGGGAAUACGGAGGGGGCUAGCGUUGUUCGGAAUUACUGGGCGUAAAGCGCACGUAGGCUGCUUUGUAAGUCAGAGGUGAAAGCCCGGGGCUCAACCCCGGAUGUGCCUUUGAGACUGCAGAGCUAGAACGUCGGAGAGGUGAGUGGAAUUCCGAGUGUAGAGGUGAAAUUCGUAGAUAUUCGGAAGAACACCAGUGGCGAAGGCGGCUCACUGGACGACUGUUGACGCUGAGGUGCGAAAGCGUGGGGAGCAAACAGGAUUAGAUACCCCUGUAGUCCCUGUCUCUUAUAC
This 301-nucleotide ribosomal RNA is filed under the name uncultured bacterium. Its description in RNAcentral is "partial 16S ribosomal RNA". It matches the Rfam family "Bacterial small subunit ribosomal RNA", at positions 509 to 807 of the family's 1533-position model. The record is from RNAcentral.